Theobroma cacao (cacao) is the source of this 618-nucleotide non-coding RNA. The record is from RefSeq and is a predicted model, not a curated record. Lineage: Eukaryota; Viridiplantae; Streptophyta; Magnoliopsida; Malvales; Malvaceae.
CAAUUUUUGACUUGUUUGUCAAGAAAACUCCUGUGUCUGGAAUACAAAUACAAAGCUUUCCUAGAAAGUCACAACUUUCUCUCUGUUCGUAGGCAGUUGCAUGCACUUUAAAGGAAAGUACAAACAUAAAUUAAUUCAGAAGUAAGACCACUGAUACGGAGUCCUUGACUGCUACAUUGAUCUCUUUAUUGACACCAGAAGCGAAGAAGAUGGGAAGAACACCUUCCUGUGACAAGGAAGGAAUGAAGAAAGGGGCAUGGACUCCUGAGGAAGACAAAUUGUUGGUUCAUUACAUCAAGAAACAUGGCCAUGAUUGCUGGCGUACACUCCCAAUGCUUGCAGGUUUCUUUCCAUUCUUGGUUCUUCUUCUUUCUUGAGAGAGAGAGAGAGAGAAAGAGAGAGAAGCCAGUUUCGUAUGAUAUCGCUAAGGGAGAGUGGGAAAAUUGGCUGUUUUGGUCCCUGCUGAUGCUUGAACGAGUCAAUGACACAGUUUUCUCUGUUGGCGGUCUCAUAGAAAGAGCGAGAGAAAGGGAUUUCUCUCUAAGGAAACUAUUUCUGUCUUUUUUCCUUAAUUAUCAUGAACUUCCAGUUUCCUUGUUGGGCUUUUCUAUUGAUAAU